GAACGCUAGCUACAGGCUUAACACAUGCAAGUCGAGGGGCAGCAUGGUCUUAGCUUGCUAAGGCCGAUGGCGACCGGCGCACGGGUGAGUAACGCGUAUCCAACCUGCCUUACACUCUUGGACAGCCUUCUGAAAGGGAGAUUAAUACAAGAUGUUAUCAUGAGUAAGCAUUUUCGCAUGAUUAAAGGUUUACCGGUGUAAGAUGGGGAUGCGUUCCAUUAGAUAGUAGGCGGGGUAACGGCCCACCUAGUCUUCGAUGGAUAGGGGUUCUGAGAGGAAGGUCCCCCACAUUGGAACUGAGACACGGUCCAAACUCCUACGGGAGGCAGCAGUGAGGAAUAUUGGUCAAUGGACGAGAGUCUGAACCAGCCAAGUAGCGUGAAGGAUGAAGGUUCUAUGGAUUGUAAACUUCUUUUAUACGGGAAUAAACGGAUCCACGUGUGGAUUUUUGCAUGUACCGUAUGAAUAAGGAUCGGCUAACUCCGUGCCAGCAGCCGCGGUAAUACGGAGGAUCCGAGCGUUAUCCGGAUUUAUUGGGUUUAAAGGGAGCGUAGAUGGGUUGUUAAGUCAGUUGUGAAAGUUUGCGGCUCAACCGUAAAAUUGCAAUUGAUACUGGCAGUCUUGAGUACAGUUGAGGUAGGCGGAAUUCGUGGUGUAGCGGCGAAAUGCUUAGAUAUCACGAAGAACUCCGAUUGCGAAGGCGGCUUACUAACCUGUAACUGACAUUGAUGCUCGAAAGUGUGGGUAUCAAACAGGAUUAGAUACCCUGGUAGUCCACACGGUAAACGAUGAAUACUCGCUGUAGGCGAUAUACAGUCUGCGGCCAAGCGAAAGCAUUAAGUAUUCCACCUGGGGAGUACGCCGGCAACGGUGAAACUCAAAGGAAUUGACGGGGGCCCGCACAAGCGGAGGAACAUGUGGUUUAAUUCGAUGAUACGCGAGGAACCUUACCCGGGCUUAAAUUGCAACCGAAUAUGGCGGAAACGCUAUAGCUAGCAAUAGCGGUUGUGAAGGUGCUGCAUGGUUGUCGUCAGCUCGUGCCGUGAGGUGUCGGCUUAAGUGCCAUAACGAGCGCAACCCUUGCCGAUAGUUACUAACAGGUUAUGCUGAGGACUCUGUCGGGACUGCCAUCGUAAGAUGUGAGGAAGGUGGGGAUGACGUCAAAUCAGCACGGCCCUUACGUCCGGGGCUACACACGUGUUACAAUGGGGGGUACAGAGGGCUGCUACCACGCAAGUGGAUGCCAAUCCCAAAAACCUCUCUCAGUUCGGAUUGAAGUCUGCAACCCGACUUCAUGAAGCUGGAUUCGCUAGUAAUCGCGCAUCAGCCACGGCGCGGUGAAUACGUUCCCGGGCCUUGUACACACCGCCCGUCAAGCCAUGGGAGCCGGGGGUACCUGAAGUGCGUAACCGCAAGGAGCGCCCUAGGGUAAAACUGGAGACU
RNAcentral lists this ribosomal RNA (1443 nucleotides) under uncultured organism. RNAcentral describes it as "SSU rRNA". It matches the Rfam family "Bacterial small subunit ribosomal RNA". The record is from RNAcentral.